Long non-coding RNA from Lathyrus oleraceus (garden pea), 2869 nucleotides. RefSeq lists it as uncharacterized. NCBI's taxonomy places the organism in Eukaryota, Viridiplantae, Streptophyta, Magnoliopsida, Fabales, Fabaceae. The record is from RefSeq and is a predicted model, not a curated record. The transcript has 5 exons.
AUAAUGCCAUUCAAUAUUCUCAUCUCAAUUUUUCUUAUUUCUCUAUUUUCAUCAUCUUCCACGGUUAACCUAUCUACCACCAAAAUAACAACUUCCCGUUGAUUCACCUUGAACAAGUUUGAUCUUGUUCCAACAAAACCUACUUCCACGCAUCUCAGACUACAUGCGAAAAUGAAAAUAAGCCUAACGGAAGCGAGAUCCUACCUGCGAGGAGGAGAAGUUCCUCAGUGAGCGUUGAAUCCGAAGUUAUGGACGAAGGUGAACAAUCUGCACGAAGAUCCUCAAAUGGAACUUCAUUGAGUUGCUGUUAGGAGACGCACAGGAAUCUUAUCUGCAAAUUCGGAGUUGAGUUACGGCAUCCGGUUUUGCCUUGGCUGGUGUCUUGCCUUGCGUUUCUCGCUUUCCUUUCUGUUCAUUCCCGUCAAUAAAACAAGGGAGUGAUAGUAAGCAGUAACUGCAUAUAAUGGCACGGAUAUCAGCUGUAGCGCCGACAAUAGGACACGAUCAGGAGCACGGGAUUCCAGAGAUUUAAAAGCAGCAACAACAUAUAAUGGCACGGUACAGACAAUCUUGAAGACAACCUUGCAAGUGGCUGUUCUAGCUAUCCCUUUCAAGGGAGGAUAAAUGUUGUUUUAGUUGGGUGUGUUUACUCUGUUACGGUUAAGGCCCGCGUGUGACUGUGUAGCAUAAGAUGUGUUUGGAAAUAUGUUGAUGGUAGCACACUUUGCUUGGUAUGACAUGCUAUGGUUUAUUGAAAUAUUACUGCUGACGUGACUUGUUUGUGAAUGUAGUGAAGCUGAUUAUAUUGCUGAGUCUGUUAUGAACCCGAAUGGUUAAAUGAUAACCUGUUAGAAUUGUCGAAAAAGAGUUAGCUGAUGGUUGGUACAUUUGCAGUUAAUUGAGAUGUGGAGUUAAUCUUCUGUUUUCGGGUGUGAAGUUAGGGAGUGAAAUAGAUUAGUUAUGUCAGGAAAAAUGAUGCAGAUUGGAAACUCAUUAUGCAGGUGAAUUUGUUUUGCAGGAUUUGAGUUGUCGGAGCUUGACCUAAUGGUGAAACGGGCUUGGUGAUUUGGCUUCGCGCAACGGAUUACUGAGAAUCAUGGUAUUGCAGCUUGGUUUCGGGUCUGCGAAUUGGUCGUGGUGUAGUUUUCUCUUGUUCUCUUACAGGUCCAGUGACUGGUAUGCUUAACCCAUGGUGCAGCAGGCUUGACGCUUGAAAUCGGGCAUGGGCAGUUGGAAGUUAGGGAAGGUUAUGGAUCAGAUAGCUUCCAGGAAAUGGUGGUUAGGCCGAUGAAAUCAGUUGGUUGACCGCCAAUAGACGUGAACAAAGGUGGCGGUUGCUGAUAUUGCAGAGUAUGCCGCAGGUCUGCAUAAUUGACGGGUGAUGUCAUUGUCAAUGCAAAAGGUGUCAAUGAAGUGACAUCGGUUGGGAAAGUUGUGAAGCUGCCCGUAGCCGGAGUUGCUCGUGAAAAGCCCAGAACUUAUUGGAUUCACGUUGCAUCAGGUAGUAUGCAUUUGGCUUUUUAUUUCCGUUAAAUUAUAAAACGUUAGAUUUCUUUUCUGUGAAAUGAAUGUGCGUUACAUUUAAUGAAUUGAUUUGUUAGGGGAGAUUGUGUUUGAUUUUGGUGAUGAGUCCCGUUGAAUCGGUAGUGGCAGGGUAAUUAAAUACGUUUGAAAGGUUCUGGAAUGCAUUUGGUUGCAACUAUUUAACAGAACAGAAGGCGCCGCAUUAGAUGGCUCCAAGCUAAAAGGCUUUUCCACGAUGCGUUUUCCAGCCUUUUUGUCUCCCUGAACCCUACAAGCAUUUGACAAUAUUCUAUACACUGUAGCAGAAACUUCAAAAGGCACCGACAAUACCACCUUCUCGGUUUCUUGUAUACGCACUGCACGACUAAGGGCAUCGACGAGACAAGAAUAGUGUUCAAUCUCCAGCUCACUUUCAUAGUUUUUCAUUUGCUGCAGGAUUAUUGUUGACAUGUUUACGGGUUGCCUUGAGGUCAAUGUGUCAAACUAGAAUUGUAUGGGCCAACUGUUUGCACUUUGUAAUCACUACUAAAAGUGGCAGAUUGAGGCAAAGGGCUCACGGAUCAUUGCACUAACAAUAUGGCACUUCCUGACUAUAAGGAGAUGAUUCACUAGGUGGUCCCGUUGUGAUGGAGCUAUUUGAGAUGCAGCUUCAUGGUUUAUGAAACUUGAACCAAAAAUUCUUGGGACAUGGCCCUGAGCUGGCUUCAAUUGGAAUUGUAGGUUGUCCAAAACAGUAAAUUUUGGGGCUUCUACCAAAAUCGUAGUUUUGUAAUUGUCAAGUAUUGUAGCAACUCCUUUUCUGAUCAUGUCAGCAGUUUUAUGUUCUACUUCUAUUUUCUGUUUUUCUGCUACAACUGCACAAACAUUCCCCGUUGGUAGUACUGUGUUGUUGGUUGUCUGCAGCAUGUUUUUACUAUCCUUGUCUGAGACAUUUCCUUUUGAUAAACAGUACAGUGAUCUAAGUUCUCCAUCUUGGAACUCUACCAGUGAGGGGAAACCAUCCUGCGAGGAGAAUGCCAAAUAAUAAGAAUGCCAAAUAAUGGGCAUCAACUGACCAAGUAGUAUUUGCUACUAGAGCAUAGUGAAGACUGGCGAAUAUAACUAUUGGAGAAGUGGAAUGAGUUGGUUCUCGAAAUUAUUGGAUAUUGAUUGGAUGUGUGUUUUCUUUGUAAAUGGAUAUUGGGUUUGGGCUAUUGGGCUUAGAGUUGUUUUGAAGCUAUUAUUUUGGACUGCAAAUGUUGUGUGGAAUAUGUGUAAUGUGACUUUGAAAUGUAAUGGCUUUGUGAUUAAAAUUAUAACGUGAUUUAUGUAUGAAAUUGAAAUGUGAUUGCGAUGGUUAACUCAA